AUUGAACGCUGGCGGCAGGCCUAACACAUGCAAGUCGAACGGUAACAGGAAACAGCUUGCUGUUUCGCUGACGAGUGGCGGACGGGUGAGUAAUGUCUGGGAAACUGCCUGAUGGAGGGGGAUAACUACUGGAAACGGUAGCUAAUACCGCAUAACGUCGCAAGACCAAAGAGGGGGACCUUCGGGCCUCUUGCCAUCGGAUGUGCCCAGAUGGGAUUAGCUAGUAGGUGGGGUAACGGCUCACCUAGGCGACGAUCCCCAGCUGGUCUGAGAGGAUGACCAGCCACACUGGAACUGAGACACGGUCCAGACUCCUACGGGAGGCAGCAGUGGGGAAUAUUGCACAAUGGGCGCAAGCCUGAUGCAGCCAUGCCGCGUGUAUGAAGAAGGCCUUCGGGUUGUAAAGUACUUUCAGCGGGGAGGAAGGGAGUAAAGUUAGUACCUUUGCUCAUUGACGUUACCCGCAGAAGAAGCACCGGCUAACUCCGUGCCAGCAGCCGCCGUAA
This 506-nucleotide ribosomal RNA is filed under the name uncultured bacterium. Its description in RNAcentral is "partial 16S ribosomal RNA". It matches the Rfam family "Bacterial small subunit ribosomal RNA", at positions 30 to 523 of the family's 1533-position model. The record is from RNAcentral.